RNAcentral lists this ribosomal RNA (305 nucleotides) under uncultured bacterium. RNAcentral's name for it is "bacterial SSU rRNA". It matches the Rfam family "Bacterial small subunit ribosomal RNA", at positions 334 to 656 of the family's 1533-position model. The record is from RNAcentral.
UCUUCCUACGGGGCGUAGCAGUGGGGAAUAUUGGACAAUGGGGGGAACCCUGAUCCAGCGACGCCGCGUGAGUGAAGAAGUAUUUCGGUAUGUAAAGCUCUAUCAGCAGGGAAGAAAAUGACGGUACCUGACUAAGAAGCCCCGGCUAACUACGUGCCAGCAGCCGCGGUAAUACGUAGGGGGCAAGCGUUAUCCGGAUUUACUGGGUGUCAAGGGAGCGUAGACGGUGCAGAAAGUCUGAUGUGAACGGUCGGGGCCAUACCCCGGGACUGCAUUGGAAACUGUUGAACUGGGGUACAGGAGAG